GCCGUGCGUUAAACCAAAUGAAGAAGAACUGACGGUUGUUCGGCAGUUAUUGAAGGAUAAGAAAAAAACUCCAGCUGCACUCUAUAAAACUGCACCAAAGGAGCUUACAUUCUUACACCUUGCUGGAGCAUGCUUAAGUGUGUCUGCCACAAUGUCCUCCACUGUUGCUUGCUGGAUUCUAGGAUUGGACAUCGUCACUGCCUCUGUAAUAUUAAGUUCUGUGAUAAUGCAGUGGUUCAAGUACUGGUAAACAGUACUGUAUCGUUGGUAAUACAGGUUUUUUGAGUCACUAACAUAUUGUACUUACUUUUUAUGACCUUCAUAAUGUUCAUGUUUUGCAGUGGUCUCUUCCCUUUCUUCCCCUUGAGACUGAACUCCUUCCAGACACUGUAGGAGGCCAGUGCCCGAAUCACCCGCCGGGUGUUUUCCCCAGGGUUUGGACCUCCAACAAGACUUAAAUGGUGUAUCUACAAGAUGGAAUACAUUUUCAAAAUGAGAGAGGAGUUCCUCCAUAGUGCCACACACAUCAAGACUCAUCUCCUCCACUCGCUGACUAGUCCCAUCACCCAGGGCACGAGCAUAGAG
Molecule: non-coding RNA, 585 nt
Organism: Pimephales promelas (fathead minnow)
Lineage: Eukaryota; Metazoa; Chordata; Actinopteri; Cypriniformes; Leuciscidae
Source: RefSeq, a predicted model, not a curated record